AGAAAGUUAGUCUAACCAAGAUAGUCGGUUUCGGCCCGACAGAUUAUAGUACCCACCCUAUAACUUUCUU
This 70-nucleotide transfer RNA is filed under the name Turdus ruficollis. RNAcentral describes it as "tRNA-Arg". The record is from RNAcentral. RNAcentral also lists the same sequence under 1 other name. Lineage: Eukaryota; Metazoa; Chordata; Aves; Passeriformes; Turdidae.